RNAcentral lists this ribosomal RNA (970 nucleotides) under uncultured Lysobacteraceae bacterium. RNAcentral's name for it is "bacterial SSU rRNA". It matches the Rfam family "Bacterial small subunit ribosomal RNA", at positions 43 to 993 of the family's 1533-position model. Lineage: Bacteria; Pseudomonadati; Pseudomonadota; Gammaproteobacteria; Lysobacterales; Lysobacteraceae. The record is from RNAcentral.
CAGGCCUAACACAUGCAAGUCGAACGGCAGCACAGCAGUAGCAAUACUGUGGGUGGCGAGUGGCGGACGGGUGAGUAAUGCAUCGGGACCUGCCCAGACGUGGGGGAUAACGUAGGGAAACUUACGCUAAUACCGCAUACGUCCUACGGGAGAAAGCGGGGGAUCUUCGGACCUCGUGCGGUUGGAUGGACCGAUGUUCGAUUAGCUAGUUGGCGGGGUAAAGGCCCACCAAGGCGACGAUCGAUAGCUGGUCUGAGAGGAUGAUCAGCCACACUGGGACUGAGACACGGCCCAGACUCCUACGGGAGGCAGCAGUGGGGAAUAUUGGACAAUGGGCGCAAGCCUGAUCCAGCAAUGCCGCGUGUGUGAAGAAGGCCUUCGGGUUGUAAAGCACUUUUAUCAGGAGCGAAACGCUGCCGGCCAAUACCCGGCGGAACUGACGGUACCUGAGGAAUAAGCACCGGCUAACUUCGUGCCAGCAGCCGCGGUAAUACGAAGGGUGCAAGCGUUAAUCGGAAUUACUGGGCGUAAAGCGUGCGUAGGCGGUGACUUAAGUCUGCUGUGAAAUCCCCGGGCUCAACCUGGGAAUGGCAGUGGAUACUGGGUCGCUAGAGUGUGAUAGAGGAUGGUGGAAUUCCCGGUGUAGCGGUGAAAUGCGUAGAGAUCGGGAGGAACAUCAGUGGCGAAGGCGGCCAUCUGGAUCAACACUGACGCUGAGGCACGAAAGCGUGGGGAGCAAACAGGAUUAGAUACCCUGGUAGUCCACGCCCUAAACGAUGCGAACUGGAUGUUGGUCUCAACUCGGAGAUCAGUGUCGAAGCUAACGCGUUAAGUUCGCCGCCUGGGGGAGUACGGUCGCAAGACUGAAACUCAAAGGAAUUGACGGGGGGCCCGCACAAGCGGGGGGAGUAUGUGGGUUUAAUUCCGAUGCAACCGCGAAGAACCCUUACCUGGGCCUGGACAUGUCUGG